This 455-nucleotide ribosomal RNA is filed under the name uncultured bacterium. Its description in RNAcentral is "bacterial SSU rRNA". It matches the Rfam family "Bacterial small subunit ribosomal RNA", at positions 29 to 486 of the family's 1533-position model. The record is from RNAcentral.
AAUGAACGCUGGCGGCGUGCCUAACACAUGCAAGUCGAAUGUGCCGCAAGGUGCAUGGCAGACGGGUGAGUAACGCGUGGGGAACCUACCUCUUUGUGGGGAAUAACGUUCCGAAAGGAAUGGUAAUACCGCAUGAGACCGAUGGCUGGGAUGCUGUCGGUGAAACCCGGGGACCGAAAGGCCUGGGGCAAGGAGAGGGUCCUGCGUCUGAUUAGCUAGUUGGCGGGGUAACGGCCCACCAAGGCGUCGAUCAGUAGCCGGCCUGAGAGGGUGAUCGGCCACACUGGAACUGAGACACGGUCCAGACUCCUACGGGAGGCAGCAGUGGGGAAUUUUGCGCAAUGGGCGAAAGCCUGACGCAGCAACGCCGCGUGGAGGAUGAAAUACUUUUGUAUGUAAACUCCUGUAAGAAGGGAAAAUAUUCCGAUUUAUCGGGAUUGAUUGUACCUUCAGAG